RNAcentral lists this unclassified non-coding RNA (336 nucleotides) under soil metagenome. RNAcentral's name for it is "partial contains 5.8S ribosomal RNA, internal transcribed spacer 2, and large subunit ribosomal RNA". The stretch from base 1 to 120 matches the Rfam family "5.8S ribosomal RNA", at positions 35 to 154 of the family's 154-position model. The record is from RNAcentral.
GAUGAAGAACGCAGCGAAAUGCGAUAAGUAAUGUGAAUUGCAGAAUUCCGUGAAUCAUCGAAUCUUUGAACGCACAUUGCGCCCCCUGGUAUUCCGGGGGGCAUGCCUGUCCGAGCGUCAUUGCAACCUUCAAGCGCGGCUUGUGUGUUGGGUCUCGUCCCCCGUGGACGGGCCCGAAAGGCAGUGGCGGCGUCCCGACAUGGUGCCCGAGCGUAUGGGAAUCCUCUUCCGCUCGAAUCGGCCCAUGCGGCGCUGGUCGUAACCAAAUUUUUUACCGGUUGACCUCGGAUCAGGUAGGGAUACCUGCUGAACUUAAGCAUAUCAAUAAGCGGAGGA